GCGGCCAUCGUCUAGUGGCUCAGGAUUCCUGCCCUUCAAGCAGGAGACGUCGGUUCAAAUCCGACUGGCCGUGCCA
This 76-nucleotide transfer RNA is filed under the name SAR202 cluster bacterium. RNAcentral's name for it is "tRNA-Glu". It matches the Rfam family "tRNA". Rfam says of the family: Transfer RNA (tRNA) molecules are approximately 80 nucleotides in length. Their secondary structure includes four short double-helical elements and three loops (D, anti-codon, and T loops). Lineage: Bacteria; Bacillati; Chloroflexota; Dehalococcoidia. The record is from RNAcentral.